RNAcentral lists this ribosomal RNA (520 nucleotides) under Florenciella parvula. RNAcentral describes it as "partial Bacterial large subunit ribosomal RNA". It matches the Rfam family "Bacterial large subunit ribosomal RNA", at positions 1 to 546 of the family's 2925-position model. Lineage: Eukaryota; Dictyochophyceae; Florenciellales. The record is from RNAcentral.
UGGAAAAGGGCGUAUGGGGAAUGCCUAGGCUCUCAGAGGCGACGAAGGACGUGAUAAGCUGCGAAAAGCUGCGGGGAUCGGCACACACGAUAUGAUCCGCGGAUAUCCGAAUGGGGCAACCCGGCAUGUUGAAGACAUGUCAUGCGAAAGCAAGCAAACCCGGUGAACUGAAACAUCUAAGUAGCCGGAGGAGGAGAAAACAAAAGUGAUUCCGGUAGUAGCGGCGAGCGAAACCGGAUUAGCCCAAACCGUUGUUGUUUCGGCAAUAACGGGGUUGUAGGACCACGCUGUUCGAUGUGCGAUGAACUAGAACGCUUUGGAAAGAGCGGCCAUAGACGGUGAUAGCCCGGUAUAGGCAAAGAGCAUUCAGAUAGUGGUAUCCUGAGUAGUGCGGGGCACGUGAAACCCUGUAUGAAUCUGGCGGGACCAUCCGCCAAGGCUAAAUACUCCUGAGAGACCGAUAGUGAACCAGUACCGUGAGGGAAAGGUGAAAAGAACCGUGAACAACGGAGUGAAAUAG